RNAcentral lists this ribosomal RNA (533 nucleotides) under Helenozyma melibiosica. RNAcentral describes it as "[Candida] melibiosica partial large subunit ribosomal RNA". It matches the Rfam family "Eukaryotic large subunit ribosomal RNA", at positions 68 to 664 of the family's 3401-position model. Lineage: Eukaryota; Fungi; Ascomycota; Pichiomycetes; Serinales; Metschnikowiaceae. The record is from RNAcentral.
ACGGGGCAUUGCCCCAGUACGGCGAGUGAAGCGGCAAAAGCUCAAUUUUGAAAUCCCCCCGGGGAGUUGUAAUUUGAAGACUAGGGGAUUUGGCCCAAACCUGCGCAAGUCCAUUGGAACAUGGCGCCCAAGAGGGUGAGAGCCCCGUCGCGCAGGCCGCAGCCUUGACAUCCCCCCGUCAAAGAGUCGAGUUGUUUGGGAAUGCAGCUCAAAGUGGGUGGUAAAUUCCAUCUAAAGCUAAAUAUUGGCGAGAGACCGAUAGCGAACAAGUACAGUGAUGGAAAGAUGAAAAGCACUUUGAAAAGAGAGUGAAACAGUACGUGAAAUUGUUGAAAGGGAAGGGCUUGCAAGCAGACACGAGUUCGCUCGGGCCAGCAUCAAUUUCGCGAGGUGGACAACACGCCAGGAAUGUGGCAGGCUCCGGCCUGUGUUAUAGCCUGCGCGCCAUACACCUCCGCGAGAUUGAGGCCUGCUCCAAAAGGAUGCUGGCGUAAUGGUUGCAAGUCGCCCGUCUUGAMMCAMRRACACAAAAA